AAACACAUGUCUGCUUCUUUUUUGUAGCCAUGUUUCUGUCUUCACGUUGUGCUGUGCUCACCUUUGUUUGUUGUUUAUGUUGUGUGUGUCUCAUCUGUGUUUCCCUGAUAGGAGGAGCCAGUAUACGAGGGAGAGUACGGAGGAAUGGAGCAAGGCGGGGAAGGAGGAGAGGGCUACUAGCCGUCUUCAAGACCCUCCCAUCUUCUCCUGCACCCCUGCCGUCCUUGCCUACCUGUACCAGAUUCCAGAUGUUCAACAUAUUUUUUUGAGACUUUAUGGAACCAAAAUCAACUAAAGACUUCUGGAUGAUGCACUCCGCCCCUAACCCCACCCCACACCCCACGCCCCCGGCCCCCUAACCUCAGCCCCCAGCCCCCUUCUCUAAUUUUUUGCAGCCUGUAGCUUCUCUUACUACUGCCCAUCUUACCCCCCUGCCUCACCUG
Parambassis ranga (Indian glassy fish) is the source of this 443-nucleotide long non-coding RNA. NCBI's taxonomy places the organism in Eukaryota, Metazoa, Chordata, Actinopteri, Ambassidae. The record is from Ensembl.